UACGGGGGGGGCAAGCGUUGUUCGGAAUUACUGGGCGUAAAGGGCUUGUAGGUGGCCAACUAAGUCAGACGUGAAAUCCCUCGGCUUAACCGGGGAACUGCGUCUGAUACUGGAUGGCUUGAGUGUGGGAGAGGGAUGCGGAAUUCCAGGUGUAGCGGUGAAAUGCGUAGAUAUCUGGAGGAACACCGGUAGCGAAGGCGGCAUCCUGGACCAUUACUGACACUGAAAAGCGAAAGCCAGGGGAGCAAACGGG
This 253-nucleotide ribosomal RNA is filed under the name uncultured bacterium. RNAcentral describes it as "partial 16S ribosomal RNA". It matches the Rfam family "Bacterial small subunit ribosomal RNA", at positions 524 to 776 of the family's 1533-position model. The record is from RNAcentral.